This 1403-nucleotide long non-coding RNA is filed under the name Ananas comosus (pineapple). RNAcentral describes it as "long non-coding RNA (ACOM_LNC003054)". The record is from RNAcentral. Lineage: Eukaryota; Viridiplantae; Streptophyta; Magnoliopsida; Poales; Bromeliaceae.
GUAGAGGGAUCUGGAGAAAAUUGAAACAUGUGAAGUGUUUUCAAUUAAAGGCCCGUUUGUUUUGGUGUAAGUGAAAUGAUGAAACUCAAGUUCCAUCAUUUUCGUUAUUUAUUUUGAUGUAAGUGAAAAAUAUAAUGUAACUCAAGUUACGUUAGAGCUCCACUUCACCUACUCUCGACUUCCUCCUUUAAAGUGCCGAACUCGACUUUCACUACACUCAACCUCCUCUAAAAAAUUUAUUAAACAGUAAAACCUAAACUCUACUUCCUUUAUAAUGAGUUAGAAUUACCUUAUUUAUAAUAAAUUAGGAUUAUCUUUAAAUAAUAAUAAAAAAAAUAAUUAUAUAAUAGAUUAAAUUUUAUAGUGGUAAAUUUACUACUAUAUUUAGGAGAUAAUGAGAUCUAUUUACUUACAUCAAAACAAAUAACGGAACUCAAAAAACUAAUUUUACCAGCACCAAGUUACAUCAAAACAAAUAACAGAAGUGAUUGAAUUUAACUUUCAGGCGGUACGAGUUACGUCAAAACAAACAAUAAAAAAGUAAUCACACUUCAGGAAAAUUCAAACACCACUACACUUGACUUACGUUGAAUCUACAAAUACGUCAAUCCAAACGAAGCAUCAAUCAAUAACUGCUGUAACAGCUGAUUUGACACUCUAUAAGAAAAAUAUAUAUUAAUUAAUUUAAAAAGAGCACUCCUGGUGAUACACUUAAAAAAAAAAAAAAUGUAAAUUUUGUGCCCUAUCAUCCAAGUAUCACUAAUGGGUCUUUGCCUUAGCUAUUAUUUUGCAAAUUUUAUUUAAGAAUUGUAAAAAAAAAAAUAAUUGAUUGAAAUAGAAUUUAUAAAUUUUAUUUAAAAAAAUUAUAAAAUGAAUUGAUUGAAAUAGAAAUUAAGGUUUAGCGAUUCACAGUUAACUAAGCCAUAAUAAAUUUUAAAGCACUGCUAGUAGCACAGUCGAAAAAGAAUGUAAAUUUUACACCCCCUCUUGUUUCAUCCAAUUGUAUGUUUCGUCCACUAACUAUGAAGUGAGAUUUUGGUUCUUAAACUUAAGUUUGUUGUAAUUUCUGUUUCUACUUUUUAGAAUUGUUGCAAUCAAAUUUCAUAACCCAUGCAAUUUAGUUGAAUAAAUGUUGACACAUUACUCAUAUAAAAGUAAUGUACCAUCUUAAUUACUGAUGCAUCAUCAAUUACAACACUAGUACAUUACUCCUACAUUAAUGAUUUAUUAAUAUUUAAUUAGUAAAUUGGCUUAUAGGACUAUACUUUUGAAAGUUUGAGCUAGAAAUUAUAAUAAAUUAAAAUUUGAGAAUCAAAAUGUCACUCGCUUAAGGAACAAGCGUGCAAUUUAUCCAUUACAACACUAUAAAAAAGCGGUCCAAAUUAAAACUUAGAGAAAUAUUA